UACGUAGGGUGCAAGCGUUGUCCGGAAUUAUUGGGCGUAAAGAGCUCGUAGGCGGUUCGUCGCGUCGGCUGUGAAAUCCCGAGGCUCAACCUCGGGUCUGCAGUCGAUACGGGCGGACUGGAGUUCGGCAGGGGAGACUGGAAUUCCUGGUGUAGCGGUGGAAUGCGCAGAUAUCAGGAGGAACACCAAUAGCGAAGGCAGCUCGCUGGGACGGUAUUGACGCUAAGGCGCGAAAGCGUGGGGAGCAAACAGG
Molecule: ribosomal RNA, 253 nt
Filed under: uncultured bacterium
Lineage: Bacteria
Description: partial 16S ribosomal RNA
Rfam family: Bacterial small subunit ribosomal RNA
Source: RNAcentral